GACGAACGCUGGCGGCGUGCUUAACACAUGCAAGUCGAACGGAAAGGCCCUGCUUUUGUGGGGUGCUCGAGUGGCGAACGGGUGAGUAACACGUGAGUAACCUGCCCUUGACUUUGGGAUAACUUCAGGAAACUGGGGCUAAUACCGGAUAGGAGCUCCUGCUGCAUGGUGGGGGUUGGAAAGUUUCGGCGGUUGGGGAUGGACUCGCGGCUUAUCAGCUUGUUGGUGGGGUAGUGGCUUACCAAGGCUUUGACGGGUAGCCGGCCUGAGAGGGUGACCGGCGACAUUGGGACUGAGGUACGGCCCAGACUCCUACGGGAGGCAGCAGUGGGGAAUAUUGCACAAUGGGCGGAAGCCUGAUGCAGCAACGCCGCGGGCGGGAUGACGGCCUUCGGGUUGUAAACCGCUUUCGCCUGUGACGAAGCGUGAGUGACGGUAAUGGGUAAAGAAGCACCGGCUAACUACGUG
RNAcentral lists this ribosomal RNA (468 nucleotides) under uncultured bacterium. Its description in RNAcentral is "partial 16S ribosomal RNA". It matches the Rfam family "Bacterial small subunit ribosomal RNA", at positions 28 to 507 of the family's 1533-position model. The record is from RNAcentral.